RNAcentral lists this transfer RNA (71 nucleotides) under Magnetovibrio sp. RNAcentral's name for it is "tRNA-Gly". It matches the Rfam family "tRNA". From Rfam's summary of the family: Transfer RNA (tRNA) molecules are approximately 80 nucleotides in length. Their secondary structure includes four short double-helical elements and three loops (D, anti-codon, and T loops). Lineage: Bacteria; Pseudomonadati; Pseudomonadota; Alphaproteobacteria; Rhodospirillales; Magnetovibrionaceae. The record is from RNAcentral.
ACGAUGAUGGUGUAGUGGCAACAUUUUAGAUUUCCAUUCUAAAGCCCCGGGUUCGAUUCCCGGUCAUCGUA